This 7110-nucleotide long non-coding RNA is filed under the name Lactuca sativa (garden lettuce). RNAcentral's name for it is "long non-coding RNA (LSAT_LNC008355)". Lineage: Eukaryota; Viridiplantae; Streptophyta; Magnoliopsida; Asterales; Asteraceae. The record is from RNAcentral.
GAUGAUCCAUGGAGCUUUUAACCCAUGGAUCCUUGGAAAAGGAAAGGUCAUGGGUUAUUAGGGUUUCACCCUAAUCAUGUACACUAUAUAAGCAUGCUUAUGUUGCAUGAAAUGGCCACUAGAGUGACUAGUGUUACUAGAGUAUGUGUGUUUGUGUGUGACCGAUUUUACAAGUGUGUGUACACUCUCUCAAAGUUUUCCAAGAGUUUGUGGUGAUUUGUGAUUCCAUUUGAGGCAUUCACACUAUUGGUGCUUGGCCCUCAAACUCCUUAGGAAUCAAACUCAUCAUCAAAAGGUAUGUAAUCUCAUCUAAUUCUUUUAUGUUUAAAAGUACCCCAUGCCAUGUUAGAUAGGUUAUGAACCUUGGAAAAUUAUUAUUUUGCAUGUAUUUAGACAAACAUAGAUCCAAGGUUUAUUAGGGUUGCAUGCACACUUAGGAAGUGUUAGAUUGCUCAAAACCCAACAGUGGUAUCAGAGCCUAGGCUUGCUUGUUUGAUACUUGAUGCAAAAUAGUGAAAAAAGUUGAAAUUGUUGUUGUCUGGCUGAUGGACUCGCCGAGUCCAUGGGGGGACUCGCCGAGUUCAAGGCAAAAUUCAUCCUACUCGGCGAGUAGGUUCGUGCACUCGGCGAGUAGAAUGAUCAGAAUGCAGAAUUUCGACUUUUGCUGCUGGAAAUGGACUAGAAACAUUACCCUAAACUGUUUUGGUGUUUUAAAACUUGUUUUAGUUGGUGUAAUGGUUGUUCUAAUCCAUUUACAAUAGCAUAUAUCAAAAUUCCAUGAUUUUUAUGUGUUCAUAUAAUUCUUGAAAUUUUGAUGAUCAUGUUCAUGUUCUUAUGAAUUUAGAAGAUGAUAGGAAUUAUUUGCUGAAUUGUUUAGAAUUAAUUCUUGAUCAUUUAUGUGUUUUAAUGGAGUCCAUAAUUUGUCCUCAAGUUAUGGAUAUCCAAAGGUCACUUUUCUUUAACACACACUUAAACACAUAAGUUACAUGAAAAUGAAGAGUCUUCAUUUUUAUGAACCUUUAAUUCAUAAGUUAUGAAAUGAAAAGUUUUGGAUAGUUACAAAACUUGCCCUCAAGUUUUGGAAUUUGUAAAGUUUCACACACUUUAAUAAACUUUAAUUCCAACCCUUAGAGUUUUAAUAGUUAAAAUUCAACCCUUAUACUAUUUAUAACAUUAAUGGUUAAUUAUUAUAUAUAUGUAUAAGAAUAAGUCGUUCUACCGUUAGUAGGCCUCAUUCACGAAGCCGGUCUAUAAGGUGGGUAUAAGGUUGUUGCCUAUAAAAUGGCGACUUAAUGGGUGUCCACUCUCACCCACCGCUUGCUUGACUGGUGGAGGGUCGUUAGCCGAACGGGUAGGACAAUGACUUUAAAUUCUCAUUAAAAGUAUAAUGAUUAUUAUAAAGUAACUAAAUAUUUUUUAUUUAAUUCCCAAUCUUAGUUACUUUAGGAAAAAUGUGAAUUUGGUGCUAGCCCAUGGAAUUCACACUUUGUACCUUACCAAGUCGUUGGUGGAGCGUGUGUGGUUAACCGGCACACUAACUUGGACUAGUAAGGAUCACGAAGGGUGACUUAAUGUUUGUCAUAGAUCAAUGGAGCGUGUGUGGUUAACCGGCACAUUGAUUAGGUGAUAAUAUUAAGGGUACCAAGUGAAUUGGUAUGGUUAUUCACACCUUGUUUUGUGAUCCUCGGCAUCCCAGUCACAAAAUUUGAGAGGGCACACUCGAGAUUGAAACAUGCCAUUGAAAAGUUCAAUGAAUCUCAAAAGAUCUAGGAAUUUCAAAUCCAAUUAAAACCUAAUAAAUUAUUUCGUUUUUCAUGGUGGAAAUUGGUGAAUCGUCAUUCGCCUACCUUCAAAUAUUUUAUAGCUUGGAUUACGGCAUCCCUCUUCCAAAUUAUAAAAUAUUGUGUUGGGUCCUAGCCUUAAUAUUUCAUAUUGGGUGUUAUAUUAAGGACUUUGAAUCAACUAACUUGAUUUUCUCCCAUUAUAGAUGUCUGGUUCAGACAACUAUGAUCUUCCCAAAUCUCUUGAAGAUGGUGUCCCUCAACAUCAUGCUUCACUUCCUCCACCUCCUCCAAUUAUUCUCCCUCACCCACAAGUUCUUGAAAAGUUUAAAGUCACUCAAUCCCUAUUGGCAAGCAUAGUCUAUGUGUGCUCACAUCUUGGAGAUAAAGUCACAUAUUGACAAGCCGGGAGAGUUGGGUGUCAAAGUCUCGUGAAAGUUGGAUGUUCAAUCACUUUCUUAGUAACAUAGUGAGUCUCUUUGGGACUACUAUGAGACAGACUAUGACAUGACCCUUAAUGAUGUUAUCUAUUUGCUUGGUGUUGUGGAAUCAGCAAUGAUUUGGAACACCAGUAAAGCAAAUUUGAUUAAAAGAACAACUUCCCAAGUCUUAAAUGGACAUUGACAAUGGUAGCAUUGGAUAUCUAGAAAAGGAUUUCUCUUCCCAAUGGAAAGGGAUCGGCCAUAGUCAACUCGGUUGACCAAAUGGUAAAGAGAAAGGCUAAGUCUGAGAUAGUCUCAUGUGCCAUUACCAAAGGGUCCAUGUGUUUUGUUGCCAAAGGAAGGGGCAUUGGUUGCGAAGCUGCCCUAUUCACCUGAAAGGUCAUAAGGUUGAUCAAGUCAAGAGGUUUGACUCUACUUCGGGUAAAGUCCACUGUCUAACUCUAUUAAGUUCCUAUUUGGAGAUUCUUAUUACAUAAUGUGAAUGGGUCACAUGCUGAUGUUUUUAAGAAUCAAAGAAAAGAUAGGAAGCUUAAAAUAAGUAUAGGUUGAUUCUGAUUGCAAAGGUGGGUUUCAAUCGCAUGGUUCGGCAAUCAGAAUUUUGAGCUGUUGCUUAAGAGUUAUAAUAUAUUGCUUAUGAAUAGAUAACAACAAGGUUUUCAUGUGGAUUGUAAGGAUAAGUUUUUCCGCAAAGUUUUAAAAAAAAAAAAAAAAAGGGUUUUAAUUUUAUUUAUUUUAAAAAUAUCCUUACAAUGGCAUCUGUGGAAAAUUGUUGCUUAUAUGUUUCCAGUAAUAGCAAUAUUGGAAAGUGGAUUUGAUUCUUUCAUUUGUGGUAGUGUCUGAAUUUACCAAAUGAAGAAAGUUUUUCAUCACCCAAGUUUCAAUUGGACAGAAACUUGGAAUCAUACAAGUUGUAUUGUAUGAUGAAUGAGAAUUUUCAUCUUUGAAAAUUAAGACUAAUUCUUUGAUCACAUGUAUAUGUGAGUCAAUUGAAGGACUAAGGAAUUAGGUACACUGGGUGUGCGCUGGUCAAGGUCCACCACAAAGAUUGAUUUGUCAUGAUUUACUAAAGAUUAGUAAAUAUGAUUAUACUUAUGAGGUUAAGUAUAAUUCUGUAACAUUGGAAAGGUUACAAUGUAUGACAAAACAAAUGAGAAGAAUCAAAUUAGGCAGAAAGAUAAAAGUUUCUCAAAUCUGAAAGGAUGGGAGAGUACUUUAGUAUCGUAUUUCAUGAUCAUCUUAAUGAUUAUGAAACCAUAUCACAAAUUCAUACUCUAAGGACGUCUUAGUGCAUUGUUAUGGCUAAGAAGAGAGGUCAUGAAUUGUUGGAUUGGUUAAAAUCAAGAAGAUGAGUCAUACUUCGUUCCAAAACAAUUCUUAGAGUCAUACUCCAAGAUUGUAACUUUGAGUGACAUAAAGGAAGAUUUAUUAACACUAGUCAAAUGUAAGAGUAAAAUGUUUUCUACUCUUGUACAUUUGAGAUUGGUAAGUUGUGAUGUCUUGGAUGAGACAAAGACCAACUAAGACCAAUUGUGUGAAGUGUUAGUCUUGAUAAGAAUCCGCACUAUCCCUUGAAUAUUUGUUUUGUCAAGGAAUGGUUCUUGACUGGGGAAACUUAUAUGUCAAGGGGACAGUGGGAGCCUUAAAGAUCCUGAAAGAGUUUCAAGAUUUAAUCAAGAGUAAAACCUGUAAUUUAUCACUAGCACACGACUUAAGGUUUGCAACCUAUCGUGUUGACAUAAUUCUUAUUUCUGUACCUACUUCAAAUAAGUUGAAUUUGCAUGUGAGUUAUCAGAGUUCAACUUGGAAGCAUUGGUGGGCCUUGUGCUACCAAGGUGACAAGAAACUAAGAUUGAACAAGUUUAAUCCAUGUAAGGCUGAAUUUGUCACUAACCUUAUCUUGUGAUUAUGGUUUUGACAAAUUCACAUGGAUAGGAACUCAUACACUAUAAAAUCUAAGUGUCAUAAGGUUUCUCUCCGAUUCAUGAAAAUGAUGGUGAGGAAACGCUUUCACUAAGUAGAUUUUACGUAGAUAUCAAUUGUGUUAUUUGCAUUUUCAAAAGUCGUUAGUGGAGCGCGUGUGGUUAACCGGCACACUAACAUGGACUUGUGAGAAAUGGCAAAUGCCUAAGCAAUUGAGACUAUGAUUACGGCAUCCCUUUUCAUAGUUCUGAAAAUUGUUUAGACACACAUGUGAGCUAUCUAAGAAAGGGUGUAUGAAUCUAAAUUUCAGAAGUCCAGCAGAUUUCUGGAAAUAUGUCAGAGCUAGUGGGAGCAUAAGUGUUAUGCUGAUAAUCAUCAUGUUAGUGGGAGCAUGAUUAUUACGUUUAGUGUUGCAAGUUAGCAAUGUUAAUUAUAGAAAACAAAGUUUCAAUUCGUGAAGUUGCAGGGGUUGAAAAGUUGUUUUGCUAUAAUUAAGGGAGAGGAAAUUAUACUUCAUUUCAAUUCUAAAGCUUAGAUUGAGAUUUUAAUCAUCUUUAGUCAAGAAUAUAUAUAUGAAUUUUAUGUUGGAAUGGUUCAACUUGAAGAAAUUCUAUAUAUAUUGCGUUUUCAAAAUUCGAUUAUGAUUACGGCAUCCCUCUUCAUAGUUAAAUUUUGAAAACAUGGCAAAUAAAAAAUAUUGUAGCAAAAGACUGGUCUAGUAUCAUGUCUUUAUGUCAAACAUCAUGAAUCGUGUCCCAUAUGCUUCGGAUAUAGGAUCGAUUGCAUGUGCUAUAAUAUUCAUCUUUUCUAAAUUUUCCAAAUGCUUAAGGCAUUGAGAAGGGAAAAGUCUAGAACUGGAUAUGACUAAAGUGAUUAAGCAAUUGUCGAGGACAAUCUGAGGUUCGCCAAAGAUUGGUUGCUCAGGGAAAGUUGGAAGUAUGAUGUAAGUUGUCGGAAAGGACCAUAUUGACAUAUUCUGAAAAGAAGUAACUCUUGUUCGGAAGUGAUAGUCAAAAUGGGACUAUGGAAAUGUCUCCAUAGGUGGAAGUUAUUCAAUCUAUGUAAGAUUAGAAAACCUUAAUGCAAGAAGGAUGUUCAAAGCAAUGUACUUUGAAUAUGAGACUUCCGUUCCAUAGAAGUUGACCUUCUUUGGAAUACUCUGUAAUGACUGGUGACAAGGUUUUGGUGACUUUGUGCAUAAUCAUUACAAGAGGAACAUUGCAUAAAAGUUUAAAAUCUAACAGUUUUUUUGGUAAAUGAUAGGAAUCGGGGAUUCUCACAUUUACAAUAAGGAUUUGGGAUUGUGAAAUGAGUAUCAUUGGAAUCAUGUUCAAUUGAUCUACAUCACAAUGUAAGGAUCAUAGACAAACAUAGUGUGCAUACUUGGAGUAUGGCAUAACUAUUGUUUAGAAAAACAAAGUGUACAUGCUAGGAGCAUGGGACGACUGUUGUUUUUAUUCAAGUCUUAAGUUGAUUGUUUGAAACAUUAUACAAUGAAUAAUGUGUAAUCAAUAUGGUGAUAAAUAAAAGGUGGUUCUAUUUAUAUUCAAAAGGGUUCUGAGACCAUAUUGGAUUCGAUUAUUAUUGUGUUUCACUUUGCAUGUUUUGACUUCCAAAAUAGCUAGGUUAUUCUUUCCGAAUGACUAAGUUAUUUAAACACUCCACAGUCGUUCAUAUGUUGGAAGUAGGUAUGAAUCAAGACUGUCAUGAAUCGAGUUUGUAGAUGGCUAAAUGGGUUUAGUCAUAGCAAUGGUUGCUACAACAUUCAUGAGUGCUCAUAAGUUAUGAGUAUUGGAAUAAACCCACGCUCACUUGUAUCACUUCAUGGAAUUUAUCUCGAGUGAUCGUGAGACGGUAAUAUCAUAUAAAUCUUCAAACCUAGAGAUAUGAGUUGUUACCUAUGAGUUGGUUGUGCAUUGAUUGCACGUAAACGCAUCAGUAACUUGAUGUUAUAAAACGUGCCUUUGUGUACAAUUCAACAAGUAGUAGAACAAGCAUAUGAGUCGAAGUUUAUCUGUUCCUUCUAGAAAUAGAAGCGAUAUCUGGGCCCCUCGAUGAUUUUGUUGUGACCUAUGUACCGGCCGGUCAGAACUAAAUUGAUGUGUUCGAUUAAGUUCUUUGUCAAACAAAUCGAAAAUCGGGAAACAAACUGCUGGACAAUAAGUACGACGUUGUUCCAUGUAUUUGUCCGGCUGAUAUCAUGAGAACAGAGGAUUAUAUGAUCACUUAUCUAAAAUGGCGCUUCAUAGUUCAACAGAGUUUUCGAGAGCUACGAUUGCUGGUUGGUUCCUGAAGUAACAUACGCAAAUAUAGUUAUUAGACUUAUCCAAGUGGGAGUCUGUUGGAUAAGGUGUCUAAGUCCAUAACUUAUUUGGUAUAUACUUGACCCGACCCGGCAUGGUCCAUUUGGGUUGCAUUUCAUCCAAACUAUUUAUGGAUAAUUUUAUGAGAGUUAUACACAUAUGUUUAUUAAUAUAUUAUAAGUUAUAAUAUAUUAAUAUGAAGUCAUGUUAUUUAAUUAGUCUUAGUCUUAAAUUAAUUAUGAAUUAAUUUAGAGAUUAAAAGGAAGACUAAUUAGAUUGUGGGCUAUUGGUUUUAUAUAGUGUGGGCUAACACUCAUUUGUUAAUGGGCUAGGCUUAUAUGGAAGUCCAUGGAUGAUCCAUGGAGCUUUUAACCCAUGGAUCCUUGGAAAAGGAAAGGUCAUGGGUUAUUAGGGUUUCACCCUAAUCAUGUACACUAUAUAAGCAUGCUUAUGUUGCAUGAAAUGGCCACUAGAGUGACUAGUGUUACUAGAGUAUGUGUGUUUGUGUGUGACCGAUUUUACAAGUGUGUGUACACUCUCUCAAAGUUUUCCAAGAGUUUGUGGUGAUUUGUGAUUCCAUUUGAGGCAUUCACACUAUUGGUGCUUGGCCCUCAAACUCCUUAGGGAUCAAACUCAAUCACAUUAAAAGGUAUGUAAUCUCAU